AUACGGAGGGUGCAAGCGUUAAUCGGAAUUACUGGGCGUAAAGCGCGCGUAGGCGGAUAUUUAAGUCUCAUGUGAAAGCCCUGGGCUCAACCUGGGAACUGCAUGGGAUACUGGGUAUCUAGAAUACAGUAGAGGGUAGUGGAAUUUCAGGUGUAGCGGUGAAAUGCGUAGAGAUCUGAAGGAACAUCAGUGGCGAAGGCGACUACCUGGACUGAUAUUGACGCUGAGGUGCGAAAGCGUGGGGAGCAAACAGGAUUAGAAACCCUUGUAGUCC
Molecule: ribosomal RNA, 274 nt
Filed under: uncultured bacterium
Lineage: Bacteria
Description: partial 16S ribosomal RNA
Rfam family: Bacterial small subunit ribosomal RNA
Source: RNAcentral